AUAGUUUCCACCUGAGCGGAGAGUCAUCAUACAUAACUCAAAGUCUUAUUACUUCUGAGUCUCUAUGAUUGUGUCGAUACUGGUUGAGUCUUUAUAUGGAAGUUAUACAAUUGCACCAAGCAUUAUGGACGUAUUUGAAAGAACAUCUCAGCUGACAGUAGGGUAAAAUUAAUCUAACACGUUUUUAACAAUAUUUUAUACCAUGUUGUAAAGUGUGUUUUUUCACUGUUUUGCAGGCGUCUGAAAUAGGAAGAAUCCAGGACUUGCAGGCUGUUUUACUUGUUGAGGCCAUAUCGCUAUGAAAAUGCCACAGGCAAACAAAUUUCCCACACAGUAGAGCCUUAAUGAUAUACUUUUUAGGUUCUUCUAUAAACAACAGCCAACCUUGGAUGAUAUGUAUCACAAUUUUCAAUUCCAUAGCAUUAACGGGCAAAAAAUGCGCAAGAGCAGAAACACUAAUAAGACGCAUUUCAUAGAGCCAUACUUUCAAAUAAGACCCUUAUCCAAUGGCCAGGCGCAUCCCCAUGUUAUUUUUCCAUCUAGAUAUAAUCAGAUUCAGGUGUCCUUUGCCUCUGAAGUAGGAAGAAUCCAGGAUUAGCAGGCUGUUUUACUUGUUGAGGCCAUAUCGCUAUGAAAAUGCAACAUGCAAACAAAUUUCCCAUACAGUAGAGCCUUAAUGAUAUACUUUUUAGGUUCUUCUAUAAACAACAGCCAACCUUGGAUGCUAUGCAUCACAAUUUUCAGUUAGGCCUAUUCUAGAAUGAAACUUACAUGAAAUAAAAGUGUAAACUCGAAGCGCAGUGCUUUCGUAACAAUCGUUGUUCUCAAGCUGAAACCACAUACAGAAGUAUUAAAGUGGUUUUUUUUUACAGAUUCCAUAGUAUUUACGGCCACAAAAUGCGCAAGAGCAGACACACUAAUUAGUCGCAUUUCAUAGAUCCACACUUUCAAAUAAGACUGUUAUUCAAUUGCCAGGCGCAUCCCCAUGUUAUUUUUCCAUCUAGAUAAAAUCAGAUUCAGGUGUCCUUUGUAAGUCAUUAACA
Magallana angulata is the source of this 1043-nucleotide long non-coding RNA. RefSeq lists it as uncharacterized. Lineage: Eukaryota; Metazoa; Mollusca; Bivalvia; Ostreida; Ostreidae. The transcript is spliced from 3 exons. The record is from RefSeq and is a predicted model, not a curated record.